UUCCAAGUGCUACUUACUUCCUCUUCUCCUUCCUCUUUCCAUUUUUACUUUGCAAUUUUUUCCUUCCUCUGUUCUGUUGGAUUGAGAAUUUUCCAUUUUCGGGAAUUAGCUCCAGAUUUUGAGAAUUUCCCUCCUCGUUGAAUGAGAAAUAUUUUGGUGCACGUAUUUGUUUGAUAAUUGCUUCUAGUUUUGAAUGAGAAAUAUUGCACAUGACCUGUUUGAUAAAUUGCUUCUACUUUUGAAUAUAAAAUAUUGCACAUGAGUCAUUUGAUAAAUUGCUCUUGUUUUUGAAUGAGAAAUAUUGCACAUGAUCUGUUUGAUAAAUUCCGAAGCUCCUUUGGAAGUUAAUUAUCUCAAUGUCUGAAAAAAAGGAUAGGAAUUAUUUUAAAAUUUGUUUGGCUGAUAAUUGAAGAGACUAUGAUGCACUGCAUUGCCAUUGUAAUAUAAUGAGAGAGUUAAGUCGGCAAUAAGAAUAAACAAAACGAGUGUGGUGCUAUGUUUGCUUUAAUAACUUUUUUGUUUGUUUCUUUCUGCUCAAGAAGCUUCUUGAAAUAUUUGUUGAUAUAUAAGAGAAAUUUUUCUAUAUUAAUACUUUCUCUGAGCAUUUGUUGAUUACUUUGGGCCUUUGGGGUUUCACUUGGCGGGUGGAAGGAGAAUGGAAAACGAGCAACAAGAAGUAAAGGUUUUAACAACUGGCAAGUUCACAUGGACCAUUAACAACUUCUUUACUAGUCAGGUUGCCAUCAGAUUUUUCUACUCCGACACCUUCUUCGUCGGCCCCUAUUCCUGGCAGAUAGCUAUAUAUCCAGGUAUCAACAUUUAUUUACGAGGCUUAUUGGUAGAUCGAUUGUAUGCUGGGGACAUUGAUAAUGUUCCUGUUGGGUGGAGAUCUCUUAACUUCAAGCUCUCUUUAGUUGAUUAGCUUCAAGGCAAAUCCACGAUAAUAAAAGAUGUAUUUUUGGUGGAUAAAUCUCCUCUAUCCUACUUCUUGGAAGAAAUGCAAAAUGGAAAUUCUUUACGGAGUACAACAACACUUGGAAAUGAAAAAGAACGAGAGAGAGUCUAUGACACUAUCUUUCGCUUGCCAUGGAGAUGCGAAUUGGUACACUUCCUUUUUCUCGAUUGAAAAUGGGAAGAUAAUUUGAAAUGACUCUAGUUAUAGUUUUGUGUUGUCGUUUAUGGAUAUGUGUUCCUGGUUUAGCUGCCUAUAUUACCUUCACAAUAGUUGGAAUAAACUAAGAAGUUUCAGGGAAAAAUGAAAAACAUUAAACCUUCCCUUACCCUUGCUAACAUAUAGUAGCAUAUUCUACUAGUGCAUUUUCUGUUGUGGCAACUCAAACACAGAAUGUAAUUGCAGCUUAUUGAUGUUGGCUGCUUUGUUUGCUUCAAUUCAUUUCUUUCAUUAUUAACUAUCAUGCCAACAAGAAUCAUCAUGACCGCUUGGAAGCUUCUAAAGACAAGGUUUGUCACCUUUACUAAAUUUUCUUCCCUCAAAAUAAAAUGUUAGUUGGGCAUGCAUGUGGGAUUUUAGGUUAUAGAAAAUUCAAAAUUCCGCAGCAUUUAUUUCUUCAAUUUGAGUUAGUGAUUUAGGCAGUGUCCAUCUGUUGCAAUCAUCUUUUUUUUGGAUAGAAUCCAUCUAUUACAAUCUUACUAAUGCCUUUAAAUAUCUGUAGAUCUUUGAAUGAUGAGUGCGAAAUGAAUGUGUGAACCGUGUCAUCCUAGAUUAAGCAGUUGGUCCAAAUCUAGUUAGACAGUGGAUAUGGUAUUGGCCCUGAAUUUUUGAACUUUAUCUAGACUGUAUUAGUCGCUGACUCUUUCAGCUGAAUAUAAGACCAGUCUCUGUUACUACAAAAUCAACUUGUUCUUGUACUUUGAUUAGUAUCCUCUUGUUCAUCCCAAUUCUUGUGUUCAGUUUUAAAAAAUGUUGUAGUCCAUCAAUUUUAGUAUUAUAAUUUGACCUUAUCAUGCUUGUGCCAGGCAGUUCAAGAGGUUGUCUGCUAUGAAAUUAUUAGAUUUUGGCUGCUUUCUUAUUAUGAGUUGUGGAGUCAUUCUUCUGCAACAGACAGGUCUUCUGAUUCUCUGCUCCUAUGGUCAUAUGUUAUAUCAUUAAUUUUUGUGUUGAUCAGCUAUAAAUCUAUAUACUGAAUUUGUUUUAUUCAUCCUUAAAAUCAUGCUGCCUCAGAUAUCAGCUUAAUAUAUCAUAUGAUCCGUGGUCAAGGAACAAUCAAAUUAUAUGUGGUCUACAAUGUUUUAGAGAUGAAUGUUCAUGUGAGAAAGAUGUUGGCUUGACAAUGGAAGGGAACUAAUUCAAGUCAGAAAUCAGUGUCAAUAUGCUAUGCUAUCUCUAUGUUUUUAUUUUUCAUAAACACAAAUUUGAGUGGCAGUAUCCCUGCUCUUCCAAAGAAGUACAUACACCAUUGUUUGUAGCAAACCUGAGUUAGUGACAAUUGGCAGGAAGCUCAAAAUUUAUAUGCAAGAAGGGAUGUGGAAAAAUAAUAGUGUUGCCUCGGCUUAGGUCCAAUUUGGGCUAUGCAAAUUGAAAAUGUAACUAAAAAGAGCAGGAUGUAUGUUCUAUAAUGGAAUACACGAGUAAUAGUUAUAUAACAUGAAUCGGAGGCCUUUGGUCAUUUAACCAUCCAGUCAAAAGCUACUGGAAUUAUAAUCAA
RNA transcript from Arachis stenosperma, 2666 nucleotides. It is a transcript of the gene named protein POLLEN DEFECTIVE IN GUIDANCE 1-like, with no coding region annotated. The record is from RefSeq and is a predicted model, not a curated record. The transcript is spliced from 4 exons. NCBI's taxonomy places the organism in Eukaryota, Viridiplantae, Streptophyta, Magnoliopsida, Fabales, Fabaceae.